CAGUAGCCGCGGUAAAACGUAGGGUGCAAGCGUUAAUCGGAAUUACUGGGCGUAAAGCGUGCGCAGGCGGUUAUAUAAGACAGAUGUGAAAUCCCCGGGCUCAACCUGGGAACUGCAUUUGUGACUGUAUAGCUAGAGUACGGCAGAGGGGGAUGGAAUUCCGCGUGUAGCAGUGAAAUGCGUAGAUAUGCGGAGGAACACCGAUGGCGAAGGCAAUCCCCUGGGCCUGUACUGACGCUCAUGCACGAAAGCGUGGGGAGCAAACAGGAUUAGAUACCCCAGUAGUUCCUGUCUCUUAUAC
RNAcentral lists this ribosomal RNA (301 nucleotides) under uncultured bacterium. Its description in RNAcentral is "partial 16S ribosomal RNA". It matches the Rfam family "Bacterial small subunit ribosomal RNA", at positions 509 to 807 of the family's 1533-position model. The record is from RNAcentral.